ACACAAAACACGGCUGAAGUUGUUGUUCGUCUCUCUGUGAGAAAAGACGAUUACCAAAACAAAGAGUAUUGCUGAAACUCCUACAGAUCUGUCAUAUUACAUUGCCUUUGGAUGUAAGCAUAAUCUAAAGACCACAACAUUUAAGUUUCCUAAGUUUUCCGAAGUAAAAAUUGGUGAAGAAAUCGUAGGCUUAGCCUAUGCGGCUUGGGAGCCCACUCAACACAGCACUUCAUUCAUUCACGAUGUCGUGAUCGAGUAUUUCACAAUGUCGACUGCCAGGCGCCAAGAGACUUAGAUUAUUUAUCGUCUUUUAGAAUGCAAGGAAAAAUAUUUAAGGAAGCUAAAAACGAAUGCAGUGCCUAUAGUAUUUUAAUUCAACAACCAACACUUCCACCCAAGAUCGUGCGUGGGGCUUAUCAAAAGGAAGGAAAAAGGAGGUACUGUACUAGAAGACCUUACCAAAUGCAGAUGCAAAUGAAGAGAAAGGUGUUAGGGGAGUUGUUAUUAACAUUGUUAUAGAAGAUAAUGGUCAACCAAAUGAACAACACCAGGCAUAUUAACCAGAGAAGGAGAAGCAAAAUUGGCAGUUUGUUUCCUAACAUUGUAGAAAAAACAACAAUCUGUAUUAAAAGCUGUAAAUGAAUAAUCCACAUUAGGUUAUGUUGAGGAAUUAUUUGAUGCUCUUCCUUUGAGAGUCGGUAUGAGAUCAAAACGCUUAAGGAUGCACUUGACCAUGCAAAAGAAAAUCAUGACGUCAUUCCUGAACAAAUAACAAAUUACUUUAUUUGGACUGAUAAGGGUACACUGGUUAGGGAAAGAAAGUCAAGAUUCAAAUUAAACAGAAGUUUAAUGUAGGUUAUGCAGUAAUGUUAAAAUUAGGAAUUCAUGUGCAAGUAUCGGAAGGAAAUGGCUUCCAUAUUGUAAGAACUGCACAUGCUGGUAUUACUCUUCAGUUGUUUCGGCCAAGCUUGUGCCAAAUCCAACAUAUGAAUCGCCUGUAUGCAACAUGACGGUACAAUCUAAUACAGUAAUGUUAAUGCAGGACCCCAAUGGAAAUAAACCUGCUAUUGGUUUUCUUGGGCUAUCCUGGCCAAUGUUUGUUAAUGUUUCCCUGUUUGUUAACUGUAAACUUUUGGCUGAAUAAAUAAAUGAAUGAA
Anneissia japonica is the source of this 1157-nucleotide long non-coding RNA. RefSeq lists it as uncharacterized. The record is from RefSeq and is a predicted model, not a curated record. The transcript is spliced from 3 exons. NCBI's taxonomy places the organism in Eukaryota, Metazoa, Echinodermata, Crinoidea, Comatulida, Comatulidae.